Molecule: ribosomal RNA, 250 nt
Filed under: uncultured bacterium
Lineage: Bacteria
Description: partial 16S ribosomal RNA
Rfam family: Bacterial small subunit ribosomal RNA
Source: RNAcentral
UGCGUAGGAGGCAAGCGUUAUCCGGAUUUAUUGGGCGUAAAGAGUGCGUAGGCGGUUUUUCAAGUCUUGUCUUAAAUGUCAUGGCUCAACCAUGAAUUUGGGUAAGAUACUGAAUUACUAGAAGAUCGUUCGGGACAUCGGAACAGUUGGUGUAGUAGUGAAAUACGUUGAUAUCAACUGGAACACCGAAGGCGAAGGCAGAUGUCUGGAAUUUUCUUGACGCUGAGGCACGAAAGCUAGGGGAGCGAAA